GCUCAGGAUGAACGCUGGCGGCGUGCCUAAUACAUGCAAGUCGAGCGAACGGACGAGAGUGCUUGCACUCUUUGAUGUUAGCGGCGGACGGGUGAGUAACACGUGGGUAACCUACCUAUAAGACCGGGAUAACUUCGGGAAACCGGAGCUAAUACCGGAUAAUAUUUUUCUCUGCAUGGAGGAAUAGUGAAAGACGGUUUUGCUGUCACUUAUAGAUGGACCCGCGGUGUAUUAGCUAGUUGGUGAGGUAACGGCUCACCAAGGCAACGAUACAUAGCCGACCUGAGAGGGUGAUCGGCCACACUGGGACUGAGACACGGCCCAGACUCCUACGGGAGGCAGCAGUAGGGAAUCUUCCGCAAUGGACGAAAGUCUGACGGAGCAACGCCGCGUGAGUGAAGAAGGUUUUCGGAUCGUAAAACUCUGU
Molecule: ribosomal RNA, 427 nt
Filed under: uncultured Macrococcus sp.
Lineage: Bacteria; Bacillati; Bacillota; Bacilli; Caryophanales; Staphylococcaceae
Description: bacterial SSU rRNA
Rfam family: Bacterial small subunit ribosomal RNA
Source: RNAcentral